GAUGAACGCUGGCGGCGUGCCUAAUACAUGCAAGUCGAGCGAACGGACGAGAAGCUUGCUUCUCUGAUGUUAGCGGCGGACGGGUGAGUAACACGUGGAUAACCUACCUAUAAGACUGGGAUAACUUCGGGAAACCGGAGCUAAUACCGGAUAAUAUUUUGAACCGCAUGGUUCAAUAGUGAAAGACGGCCUUGCUGUCACUUAUCGAUGGAUCCGCGCUGCAUUAGCUAGUUGGUAAGGUAACGGCUUACCAAGGCAACGAUGCAUAGCCGACCUGAGAGGGUGGUCGGCCACACUGGAACUGAGACACGGUCCAGACUCCUACGGGAGGCAGCAGUAGGGAAUCUUCCGCAAUGGGCGAAAGCCUGACGGAGCAACGCCGCGUGAGUGAUGAAGGUCUUCGGAUCGUAAAACUCUGUUAUUAGGGAAGAACAUAUGUGUAAGUAACUGUGCACAUCUUGACGGUACCUAAUCAGAAAGCCACGGCUAACUACGUG
RNAcentral lists this ribosomal RNA (497 nucleotides) under uncultured bacterium. Its description in RNAcentral is "partial 16S ribosomal RNA". It matches the Rfam family "Bacterial small subunit ribosomal RNA", at positions 28 to 507 of the family's 1533-position model. The record is from RNAcentral.